UUAAGAAAGGAUCCGUUUUCCAGGAAGUCAUCCCGAUUUCUCCCACCCAUUGGGCUCAACCCUUAUCCUUUGGUUCAAAAGGGAUUCCGCUGCAGCAUGAACCCCUAAGCAUUAACAUUUUCUCGUUUUAGUUGUUGUUCUGAGUUAGUAAGAAGUCGGCCGAACGAAACAGCUGUUACAAAACAACACCUUUGGAGAAAAUGUCAACCCCCGCCGAAGCGAAAAGUUUACCUCAUUACAAGCGAAGAAAGAAUCCCCACACCCACACCGGGGGACACCGGAGGGUCUGGAAGCGUGCCAAAACGGUGCGAUAUGGUCACAAGAGCGUUACAACGCAUUACGCCAUUACGAAGGUUGAAGGUGUGCCGCAUUACGACAUUUUGAUCCUUCACAGGCAGUCGUCCUUUUGCGCUGCCUUGUUUUGUCGUUGGACAGUCGCUGUGCAGAGUAGGCUGAGAACUGACCUUGCGUACAGUUUUACGCACGGGGCAAUGUCGAAUGUAUAGAACAGCGUUACUUUGCGCUAAACAAACUGCGAAAACGACAAAAAAGGGGCUCGCGCGCUAACAGCGAACUUUUAAGCUCUGCUCCACGUGAUGGAUCGUCGGGACUGCUGGUGCUGCUGCUGUUUGCAUGUCAUUUAAAUGUAAAUUAAUUGUUGCUACCUUUUUCACUAGCCGUUGCCGUUGUUGUUGUUGUUGAGGCACACGGGCGUAAAGCAAUAGCAACAAACCCGGCACUGGCUUGUGUGCCUUUCCAUUUCGAUUGAGCUAAUUCGCUGUAAAAAACAAAGGCGGUUUGUGAAAGGGAUACUUUUCCCAAGGCUAACACCCGCGUUCUGGAGCAUUUUUUCCACAGCAGCGACGCGAGGGACAGCACAACUAAAGCAAGUUAAUCGAUGUUGAUGUUAUUAUUUCAUUUCACAUUCUUUUGCCCGCAACGCUUGUUAGCGAUAGAGCGCCGAGCUUUGCCGGUUCAAUACUGGCUGUGGGGGAGCUUUCCUUGGGAGUUUAAUGUAAAAUAAGAAAAGGAAACGUUCGCUUCACUUGCAAAACAAUACACUAGGCGUACCGUGCGUUCGCUACUAAACCGAAGCUUAAGACGUACUGCUUCCGGUUUAUCACCACCCACCGGUUUGUCGGUUUGUGUGUCCGUGUGCCCGAAAGCCAUGACCUUUUCCACACGGCAGCAUGGUUGUGUCAGCGCGCGGGGGGGUUUUGCUGCAGCAACAAAACGCAACCAGAGCACCGGUUCGGUUGAUAUGAAGGUGGUUUGCUUUUUUAUCGCUCACCAUCCUCGACCCAACCGUAAAAGACUAUUUUCUUUAGCCGAGGAGUGGGUUGUGUAUAAAUCCGCAUCCGGUAGAGUGAAAAUGGGAUAUUGCGUCGGUAAAAAAGGAUGUUAAUAACAAAAAGGAACUCUUUGUAGAUCAAGGUUUAUCAUCGAAAGGUUAUUCUUAAAAAAAAAAGUCUAUUAAACUUGCUUUUCUAUACUGUGCCCUAUCAAAACUUUAAGCGAAGAAACUUAACAAUACACCCAUAAUACACUUGCCAUUAAAAGUAUAUUCCUCUUUUUUUUAGGGCAUGAACCCUUUUGUCAUCGAAAAAAUCGAGCAUAAUCCUGUAGACACCCCGGGCGCGCACCACCUGUAUGAAGUGGUGUGUGGCUCAAAAGCUGCCUCCUCGAUAACACCCUUCAUGAUCCCGCGAACGAUGAUUCUCGCUUUUAUUAGUGAGCACGAGAAAAUUGUUCCACCCGGUGUGUGUGUGUGUUUCCCUCUAUAUAGUUCCACACACCCACCCUGGCCUCACCUGGGGAUCGGUGUGCAGUUUUAAAGUUCCAACCACUGAGGGGAAGUAGCGGAUGGUGGUAGAAAAAUAGCCUGAAAAUAGCGCGCUCAUACCGUACCAUAUGGUGUGUACUACGGCCACCGGGCGUUUUUUUUCCUGUUGCGUGACACGGUGCGGUUAUGCCACCCGGUUACCGGGUUGGUGUGUGCGCGCGAUAGGAAUAUUUCGUGGAACGGCUCGUGUCUGGGCGCGCGUGCCUACCCCCAGGACAAUCGCAUGGCAAUCGGAUUGAACGCGCAACAUUUUCCAUACAAUCCGCAGUGUUGCGUUUUCUUCGCGCCAACUUUGCCUGUAUUUUCAAUGAGCCAACCCCCAGGACAACCCCCAGGACAAUCGCAUGGCAAUCGGAUUGAACGCGCAACAUUUUCCAUACAAUCCGUAGUGUUGCGUUUUCUUCGCGCCAACUUUGCCUGUAUUUUCAAUGAGCCAAGCGAUUUUACCCCCUCCUACACGCAUUGUAUCCUACAGCACGCUUGACGCGGCAACGUUCACCACAUACACACACACAUCUCCACACUCAGGGUACGACAUCUUCCCUGUUGCUGUUCUGGACUCAGACAAAAUUUGUGUUUCUACACUUAUUGUUCAAAAAAGUAGUAGCUCUUAGGAUCUGAAUUUACAAACAAAUAUCAAAAUGUUAUGUUCUGCUAAUGAUAUUGCACUAAAUUUAAUUGCACUACAUUAAGUUUUUACAUAUCUUUCGUAAAAGUUCGUCAGAGUAUGAAAAUGUCGAUUCAAUUUGUCAUGAAUAACUUGAAUUUUAAGAUUUUCGCGCAUAAAAUUAUGACGCGCGCUGUCUGUGCGGCGGCGUAAGUCGCUACUCGUAUAGCCGUCUCGCUUCUUCUUGUGUGUGCUUUACCGUUGCUCACCGCUUCAAGAACAUUGCUGCUCACACACACGUCAGUCUGUGGCAAACAAUUGGAGGGGGAGGAUGUGUCGGUUUGCUCCAGAAAUCGUGUGUGAUUUUGGUGUUCUGGAUUUGGUUCCAUCGCUGUUUGUUUUGAUGAAUUUGAAAAGGUAAGAAUCAUCAACCGAUGUAAAAGUGUGAGAGUAAGAUGAUGCUGAUGGUGACUGAUGCUUUUCUUUGUUUUUUUCGGCUUUUAUCCACUGAUGGCGUCGAGCAUCGCCGAGGAUGUGAUCGAAUGCGGAAUAUUCUAAACGAGGAGCUUCAUUCCGGAUUUUGUUUGCAAUAAGCGCUGAACUCAUCCUCCAGCUUACAACGAACGGUCAACGGAUGAGGAAGGAGAGGAGGGACGGCGAAGGUACACGCACAAACGUGCACACCUCAGCCUUGUCGGAGAACGAGAACACGGGAGGGGGAGACCGGCAACGUAGGUUCUAUACGUUCUUCAUUUACGCUCCCUCGUGCGUUCGUGCGUGCGUGCACGCGCGCGUCUGUGUGUGUGUGUAUGUGUGUGCAUGCCUGCGAGCGUGGCUGUGUGUGUUUUUGCCGCUUCGCUUAGCGAGAUCCUACGGGAUCACCUUGUGAAAAACACCAGAGAGGGGAGGGGUAGGUGUAUGUGUAUGUGUGUGUAUGUGUGCUUGCAUGCGUACGUGGUUGUGAGUGUGUUUUUUGCUGUUUCGCGAUCUCCUACGGAAUCAAAAGGGGGUGGGGGGAAACACGAGGGGGGGGAGGAGUGAGGUGUGUGUUUGUGUUCUAGCCUGCAUGCGUGCGUGGCUUUGUCUGUGUGUGUUUUUGCGUUCGCGUUCUCCUACGGGAUCACCUUGCGAAAAACACCAUGGGGAGGAGAAGGUGUGUGUGUGUGUUUUCUCUUCUUUGUCGUUUCGCACUCUCCCGUGGGUCUCCUUGUGUGCGUUAGUUUUUUUGUUUUUCAAGAAGAAAAAAAAUACUUCGAAAAAUACCAGUGGGGAGGGUGUGUGUAUGAAUGAAAGAAUGUGCUUAGAAAAAGAAAGUAGAAAAUAAAAAAAAUAUUGAACAACGGAUUCGUAAGUGUGUUUGAACUCAUUGCUAUCCGAAAAAAAGCGUGGGGGGGCUCUUGAAAUGUAGUACACAUGUAUGCAACAUGUAUCGUGUCGCCGCGACGGUGUAUCUCGCUCAAUCCGUUAAGCCUGAAAAGUGCUUCUAUCGGAUCGUCUAAUCGGGCGCCAUUUAAUCAAUCCGUUAGCGAAAAGUCGCAUGGAUUUUGGUACCGGGGAAGCGAUUUUACCCCCUCCUACACGCGAUGUAUCCUAAAGCACGCUUGUCGCGGCAACGUUCACCACAUACACACACAUCUCCACACUCAGCGUACGACAUCUUCCCUGUUGCUGUUCUGGACUCAGACAAAAUUUGUGUUUCUACACUUAUUGUUCAAAAAAGUAGUAGCUCCUAGGAUCUGACUUUACAAACAAAUAUCAAAAUUUUAUGUUCUGCUAAUGAUAUUGCACUAAAUUUAAUUGCACUACAUUAAGUUUUUACAUAUCUUUCGUAAAAGUUCGUCAGAGUAUGAAAAUGUCGACUCAAUUUGUCAUGAAUAACUUGAAUUUUAAGAUUUUCGCGCAUAAAAUUAUGACGCGCGCCGUCUGUGCGGCGGCGUAAGUCGCUACUCGUAUAGCCGUCUCGCUUCUUCUUGUGUGUGCUUUACCGUUGCUCACCGCUUCAAGAACAUUGCUGCUCACACACACGUCAGUCUGUGGCAAACAAUUGGAGGGGGAGGAUGUGUCGGUUUGCUCCAGAAAUCGUGUGUGAUUUUGGUGAUCUGGAUUUGGUUCCAUCGCUGUUUGUUUUGGUGGAAUUGAAAAGGUAAGAAUCAUCAACCGAUGUAAAAGUGUGAGAGUAAGAUGAUGCUGAUGGUGACUGAUGCUUUUCUUUGUUUCUUUUCCUGCUUUCAUCCACUGAUGGCGUCGAGCAUCGCCGAGGAUGUGAUCGAAUGCGGAAUAUUCUAAACGAGGAGCUUCAUUCCGGAUUUUGUUUGCAAUAAGCGCUGAACUCAUCCUCCAGCUUACAACGAACGGUCAACGGAUGAGGAAGGAGAGGAGGGACGGCAAAGGUACACGCACAAACGUGUACACCUCAGCCUUGUCGGAGAACGAGAACACGGGAGGGGGAGACCGGCAACGUAGGUUCUAUACGUUCUUCAUUUACGCUCCCUCGUGCGUUCGUGCGUGCGUGCACGCGCGCGUCUGUGUGUGUGUAUGUGUGUGCAUGCCUGCGUGCGUGGCUGUGUGUGUUUUUGCCGCUUCGCUUAACGAGAUCCUACGGGAUCACCUUGUGAAAAACACCAAGAGAGGGGGAGGGGUAGGUGUAUGUGUAUGUGUGUGUAUGUGUGCUUGCAUGCGUACGUGGUUGUGAGUGUGUUUUUUGCUGUUUCGCGAUCUCCUACGGAAUCAAAAGGGGGUGGGGGGGGAAACACGAGGGGGGGGAGGAGUGAGGUGUGUGUUUGUGUGCUAGCCUGCAUGCGUGUGUGUGUGUUUUUGCGUUCGCGUUCUCCUACGGGAUCACCUUGCGAAAAACACCAUGGGGAGGAGAAGGUGUGUGUGUGUGUUUUCUCUUCUUUGUCGUUUCGCACUCUCCCGUGGGUCUCCUUGUGUGCGUUAGUUUUUUUGUUUUUCAAGAAGAAAAAAAAAAUACUUCGAAAAAUAGGUGGGGAGGGUGUGUGUAUGAAUGAAAGAAUGUGCUUAGAAAAAGAAAGUAAAAAAUAAAAAAAAUAUUGAACAACGGAUUCGUAAGUGUGUUUGAACUCAUUGCUAUCCGAAAAAAAGCGAGGGGGGGCUCUUGAAAUGUAGUACACAUGUAUGCAACAUGUAUCGUGUCGCCGCGACGGUGUAUCUCGCUCAAUCCGUUAAGCCUGAAAAGUGCUUCUAUCGGAUCGUCUAAUCGGGCGCCAUUUAAUCAAUCCGUUAGCGAAAAGUCGCAUGGAUUUUGGUACCGGGGUAGGCAAAAAAGAAAAGCAAAAAAGGGAAGCAUGAAGGGGGGAUAAUAAAAUAAAAUAAAAAUAAAACGACUCCGUGGGCUUUAUCUAAUACAUAGACACGGGCGCACACACACACUCUCAUAGACACUUUUCAACAUAAAUGGGCUUCCACGUAAUAGAAUUAUCCUACGGGAGGUGGGUUUUGGAAACAUUUUACUCUAGCACCUAGCAAGCCCCUGUGUGAGAGAGUGAGGAUAUUGGGGACGAGAUUGUAAUUUUGAAAUGUACGUUUUUUUUUUCAUUCUUUCUUUGCCUCGUGUCGUUCAUCCACAAAACGCUUGCAACACGUGUAGCUAAGCGGGACGGAGGCGCUAUUAGAUUAUAAUUCAGGCGUUCGGUUUGUGGGAAGGGGUUUUUUUACUGCCUUUGUGAUGAUCCGCCAUCCAGAUCGGGGCAGAGAUUUAUUAAAAAUGUAUGUCAAUUAUGUUGAUAUGAAGUGACGCACUUGCCGAGUGCGAGUGUUGUCAAUGAAAACCGAACAAAACAGUAAUUGAUAGGCUGCGGCCUGAGGGGAAGUUCGGGUUUUACAAAAAAAAUCUAAAAAAAAGGGUCAUUAGCAGUGAUGUGCGCUCUGGAACGUACGCACGACUACGAUCCAACUCCGGCUGUUUGAAGGGAAACGAUCAGCGAGCAGUUUCGGCCCCGGCAUGGAGGACAACCACGACGACAUCACUACUUUACUUGUUUAGAGUUGUCCGAAGUCGUCUGGAGUCAACCGAAGUCGUCCGGAAUCUAUAGAAGUCGUAGUCAUUCGGAGUCGUCUAAAGUCGAUUGGAGGUUACUGGAGUCGUGUAAAGUCGAUUGGAGGUUACUGGAGCCGUCCGGUUACUCCGUGCCACACCGAACGACUCUAGACGACCCUGAGCGACUCUGGAAGACUCUGGACGACUCUGGAAGACUCUGGACGACUCUGGAAGACUCUGGACGACUCCAUGAAACUCUGGACGACUCCAGGAAACUCUGGACGACUCCAGGAAACUCUGGACGACUCCAGGAAACUCUGGACGACUUCAGGAAACUCUUGACGACUUCAACUCCGAACGACUCCGAACGACUCUGCACGACUUCGGAUGAUUCCGGACGACUCCCUUCCGA
Molecule: long non-coding RNA, 6859 nt
Organism: Anopheles coluzzii
Lineage: Eukaryota; Metazoa; Arthropoda; Insecta; Diptera; Culicidae
Exons: 3
Source: RefSeq, a predicted model, not a curated record